GAUGAACGCUAGCGAUAGGCCUAACACAUGCAAGUCGAGGGGCAACACGGGUAGCAAUACCUGGUGGCGACCGGCGCAAGGGUGCGUAACGCGUGAGCAACAUACCCUAUACAGGGGGAUAAUCCAGGGAAACUUGGUCUAAUAUCCCAUAGGAUUUACAGAUGUCAUCAUCUAUAAAUUAAAGCUUCGGUGGUAUAGGAUUGGCUCGCGUGACAUUAGCUAGAUGGUGGGGUAACGGCCUACCAUGGCCAUGAUGUCUAGGGGUUCUGAGAGGAAGACCCCCCACACUGGGACUGAGACACGGCCCAGACUCCUACGGGAGGCAGCAGUGAGGAAUAUUGGACAAUGGAUGGAAAUCUGAUCCAGCCAUGCCGCGUGCAGGAAGACGGCCCUAUGGGUUGUAAACUGCUUUUAUAUGGGAGCAAUAAGGUCUACGCGUAGACCGAUGAGAGUACCAUAUGAAUAAGCAUCGGCUAACUCCGUG
Molecule: ribosomal RNA, 484 nt
Filed under: uncultured bacterium
Lineage: Bacteria
Description: bacterial SSU rRNA
Rfam family: Bacterial small subunit ribosomal RNA
Source: RNAcentral